CGAACGCUGGCGGCGUGCUUAACACAUGCAAGUCGAACGCUGAAGCCCAGCUUGCUGGGUGGAUGAGUGGCGAACGGGUGAGUAACACGUGAGUAACCUGCCCUCUUCUUUGGGAUAACGCCCGGAAACGGGUGCUAAUACUGGAUAUUCACUGGCCUUCGCAUGGGGGUUGGUGGAAAGGUUUUUUCUGGUGGGGGAUGGGCUCGCGGCCUAUCAGCUUGUUGGUGGGGUGAUGGCCUACCAAGGCUUUGACGGGUAGCCGGCCUGAGAGGGUGACCGGUCACAUUGGGACUGAGAUACGGCCCAGACUCCUACGGGAGGCAGCAGUGGGGAAUAUUGCACAAUGGGCGAAAGCCUGAUGCAGCGACGCCGCGUGAGGGAUGGAGGCCUUCGGGUUGUAAACCUCUUUCGCUCAUGGUCAAGCCGCAACUGUGGGUUGUGGUGAGGGUAGUGGGUAAAGAAGCGCCGGCUAACUACGUGCCAGCAGCCGCGGUAAUACGUAGGGCGCGAGCGUUGUCCGGAAUUAUUGGGCGUAAAGGGCUUGUAGGCGGUUGGUCGCGUCUGCCGUGAAAUCCUCUGGCUUAACUGGGGGCGUGCGGUGGGUACGGGCUGACUUGAGUGCGGUAGGGGAGACUGGAACUCCUGGUGUAGCGGUGGAAUGCGCAGAUAUCAGGAAGAACACCGGUGGCGAAGGCGGGUCU
This 701-nucleotide ribosomal RNA is filed under the name uncultured Actinomycetes bacterium. RNAcentral's name for it is "bacterial SSU rRNA". It matches the Rfam family "Bacterial small subunit ribosomal RNA", at positions 30 to 728 of the family's 1533-position model. The record is from RNAcentral. Lineage: Bacteria; Bacillati; Actinomycetota; Actinomycetes.